Molecule: long non-coding RNA, 587 nt
Filed under: Nicotiana benthamiana
Lineage: Eukaryota; Viridiplantae; Streptophyta; Magnoliopsida; Solanales; Solanaceae
Description: long non-coding RNA (NBEN_LNC012232)
Source: RNAcentral
CAACUUGGUCUUUGGACCUCACGUUCUCUACUUGUACAUCCUUUCUUGUGAUGCACUCUCUUAUGUAGUGAUAGCGUGUGUCAAUAUGCUUGCUUCGAUCAUGGAACACCGGAUUUUUCGCCAACGUAGUGAUAGCGUAUGUCAAUAUGCUUGCUUUGAUCAUGGAACACCGAAUUUUUCGCCAACGCCAACGUCGACUUAUUAUCCACGCAAAUUGUAGUUGGAUCUUCUUGUGGCCAUCCGAGUUCCUUUAGCAAACUUUGCAUCCAAAUAGCAUGACAUACACAAAAGGUAGUGGCAACGUACUCAGCUUCACAUGUGGAUAGAGUGACAAUUGGUUAUUUCUUGGACAUCCAACUGAAGGCGGUGUCUCCCAUGAAGAACACGAAGCCCGUGGUACUUUUUCUAUAAUCAAUGUCUCCGGCCCAAUUGCUAUCGCUAUAACCAGCAAGCUUAUAAUCAUUAGAAGUUGAAUAGAACAAGCCAAAGUUGAUUGUACCUUUGAGGUAGCGGAGAAUUCUUCUUGCAGCCUUCAAGUGUGUAGUAGUUGGAUUCUCUAUGUAGAGACUUAUGAGGCCAGUGGCGUA